GGGCCUGUAGCUCAAUUGGUUAGAGCAUCCCGCUCAUAACGGGACGGUUCACGGUUCGAUUCCGUGCGGGCCUC
This 74-nucleotide transfer RNA is filed under the name Desulfobulbaceae bacterium. RNAcentral's name for it is "tRNA-Ile". It matches the Rfam family "tRNA". Rfam says of the family: Transfer RNA (tRNA) molecules are approximately 80 nucleotides in length. Their secondary structure includes four short double-helical elements and three loops (D, anti-codon, and T loops). The record is from RNAcentral. Lineage: Bacteria; Pseudomonadati; Thermodesulfobacteriota; Desulfobulbia; Desulfobulbales; Desulfobulbaceae.